RNAcentral lists this long non-coding RNA (839 nucleotides) under Mus pahari (shrew mouse). Its description in RNAcentral is "lncRNA (MGP_PahariEiJ_G0004169.1)". Lineage: Eukaryota; Metazoa; Chordata; Mammalia; Rodentia; Muridae. The record is from RNAcentral.
GCCCCAUGGAUACUACUUUCAGCCAUUGUGACGUGUUCUCUAGUCCAUCGGCAGUGUUGGGAGUGUCCCCAUAUGGCCGGGGAAGAUUCAUUCAUUCACCAAGGAGGCAUGCAACUCCAUACCACAGACAAGAUGGCCACCUAGGAUCCCCACAUAAAUACCCCACCUUCAGAGGAGAGGCCUUGAUUGCAUGCCUCACCACUCAUAGCAGAGGCAGUGCACUUUCUUGCCACUGCAGCAAGAAAGUAAGCCAUUUCAGACCACAGAGGGAAGACACAUGGGGACCAGCUCCACAGAUGUCCCACUCUGAGGCAGCACAGUUCCAUCUCGUGCUACCCACAUCAGGGCCAAUGUGUCUCCCAAACUCACCUUUGCCCCGUCCUGUCCCUGUUCAGGCAUCAAGUGUUAUGUGGCUUUUCCUGGGUUGCAUUUUUUCAUUUACUACCAGUGGGGCAACAACAGCCCAAGAAAGUGUUUCUACUCAAAUCUAAGCUGCAAGAGCCAAGGAUUUAAUUAGAGAAAUGUGCCCAAGCGUGGGCAACUUCCUGUCACCAGAGAAGAGUCGCCCCGCAACUGUUAACUGACUAUGUCCUCAGGGAGAGAAGGGGUCUCCAGAGCCUCAGGCGCUCAUGGGCUUCCUGUGCCCUUGAGCUCAGAGAGCCUCGCAAACCCUGUUUCCUAAUAUGAAGAAGUGUUCAUGGGCCCACUCCUGGAAGGAAGUGUCCAGCGCUCACAGAUGCUCUGACCGGAAGACACGGCAACAGCUGCAUCAUGCCAGAGGACAGAGUGCCACUGCAUACCAGAGUGACCCCGUGUCUGGGGAAGAAGGCAGACAUGAG